AAAUUGAAGAGUUUGAUCAUGGCUCAGAUUGAACGCUGGCGGCAGGCCUAACACAUGCAAGUCGAACGGUAGCACAGAGAGCUUGCUCUCGGGUGACGAGUGGCGGACGGGUGAGUAAUGUCUGGGAAACUGCCCGAUGGAGGGGGAUAACUACUGGAAACGGUAGCUAAUACCGCAUAACGUCGCAAGACCAAAGUGGGGGACCUUCGGGCCUCACACCAUCGGAUGUGCCCAGAUGGGAUUAGCUAGUAGGUGGGGUAACGGCUCACCUAGGCGACGAUCCCUAGCUGGUCUGAGAGGAUGACCAGCC
RNAcentral lists this ribosomal RNA (310 nucleotides) under Salmonella enterica subsp. enterica serovar Kentucky. RNAcentral describes it as "bacterial SSU rRNA". It matches the Rfam family "Bacterial small subunit ribosomal RNA", at positions 1 to 309 of the family's 1533-position model. Lineage: Bacteria; Pseudomonadati; Pseudomonadota; Gammaproteobacteria; Enterobacterales; Enterobacteriaceae. The record is from RNAcentral.